This 733-nucleotide ribosomal RNA is filed under the name Bacillus sp. FJAT-4332. RNAcentral describes it as "bacterial SSU rRNA". It matches the Rfam family "Bacterial small subunit ribosomal RNA", at positions 61 to 775 of the family's 1533-position model. The record is from RNAcentral. Lineage: Bacteria; Bacillati; Bacillota; Bacilli; Caryophanales; Bacillaceae.
GUCGAGCGAACAGAGAAGGAGCUUGCUCCUUCGACGUUAGCGGCGGACGGGUGAGUAACACGUGGGCAACCUACCUUAUAGUUUGGGAUAACUCCGGGAAACCGGGGCUAAUACCGAAUAAUCUGUUUCACCUCAUGGUGAAACACUGAAAGACGGUUUCGGCUGUCGCUAUAGGAUGGGCCCGCGGCGCAUUAGCUAGUUGGUGAGGUAACGGCUCACCAAGGCGACGAUGCGUAGCCGACCUGAGAGGGUGAUCGGCCACACUGGGACUGAGACACGGCCCAGACUCCUACGGGAGGCAGCAGUAGGGAAUCUUCCACAAUGGGCGAAAGCCUGAUGGAGCAACGCCGCGUGAGUGAAGAAGGAUUUCGGUUCGUAAAACUCUGUUGUAAGGGAAGAACAAGUACAGUAGUAACUGGCUGUACCUUGACGGUACCUUAUUAGAAAGCCACGGCUAACUACGUGCCAGCAGCCGCGGUAAUACGUAGGUGGCAAGCGUUGUCCGGAAUUAUUGGGCGUAAAGCGCGCGCAGGUGGUUUCUUAAGUCUGAUGUGAAAGCCCACGGCUCAACCGUGGAGGGUCAUUGGAAACUGGGAGACUUGAGUGCAGAAGAGGAUAGUGGAAUUCCAAGUGUAGCGGUGAAAUGCGUAGAGAUUUGGAGGAACACCAGUGGCGAAGGCGACUAUCUGGUCUGUAACUGACACUGAGGCGCGAAAGCGUGGGGAGCAAACAG